Molecule: ribosomal RNA, 253 nt
Filed under: uncultured bacterium
Lineage: Bacteria
Description: partial 16S ribosomal RNA
Rfam family: Bacterial small subunit ribosomal RNA
Source: RNAcentral
UACGUAGGGAGCAAGCGUUGUCCGGAAUCAUUGGGCGUAAAGCGCGCGUAGGCGGCCCUGUAAGUCCGUUGUGAAAGUCAAAGGCUCAACCUGGGAAUUGCAUUCGAGACUGAAUAGCUAGGGUACGGUAGAGGGAAGUGGAAUUUCCGGUGUAGCGGUGAAAUGCGUAGAUAUCGGAAGGAACAUCAGUGGCGAAAGCGACUUCCUGGACCAGUACCGACGUUCAGGCACGAAAGCGUGGGGAGCAAACAGG